Molecule: ribosomal RNA, 913 nt
Filed under: Alcanivoracaceae bacterium HOT7G9
Lineage: Bacteria; Pseudomonadati; Pseudomonadota; Gammaproteobacteria; Oceanospirillales; Alcanivoracaceae
Description: bacterial SSU rRNA
Rfam family: Bacterial small subunit ribosomal RNA
Source: RNAcentral
GAUGGGAGCUUGCUCCCAGGCGUCGAGCGGCGGACGGGUGAGUAACACGUGGGAAUCUGCCCAUUAGUGGGGGAUAACUCGGGGAAACUCGAGCUAAUACCGCAUAAUCCCUACGGGGGAAAGCAGGGGAUCUUCGGACCUUGCGCUGAUGGAUGAGCCCGCGUCGGAUUAGCUUGUUGGUGGGGUAAUGGCCCACCAAGGCGACGAUCCGUAACUGGUCUGAGAGGAUGGCCAGUCACACCGGGACUGAGACACGGCCCGGACUCCUACGGGAGGCAGCAGUGGGGAAUCUUGGACAAUGGGCGCAAGCCUGAUCCAGCCAUGCCGCGUGUGUGAAGAAGGCCUUCGGGUUGUAAAGCACUUUCAGUAGGGAGGAAGGCUUUGGGCUAAUACCCUGGAGUACUUGACGUUACCUACAGAAGAAGCACCGGCUAAUUUCGUGCCAGCAGCCGCGGUAAUACGAAAGGUGCGAGCGUUAAUCGGAAUUACUGGGCGUAAAGCGCGCGUAGGCGGUGUGUUAAGUCGGAUGUGAAAGCCCAGGGCUCAACCUUGGAAUUGCAUCCGAUACUGGCACGCUAGAGUGCAGUAGAGGGAGGUGGAAUUUCCGGUGUAGCGGUGAAAUGCGUAGAGAUCGGAAGGAACACCAGUGGCGAAGGCGGCCUCCUGGACUGACACUGACGCUGAGGUGCGAAAGCGUGGGGAGCAAACAGGAUUAGAUACCCUGGUAGUCCACGCCGUAAACGAUGUCUACUAGCCGUUGGGGUCCUUAGUGACUUUGGUGGCGCAGCUAACGCGAUAAGUAGACCGCCUGGGGAGUACGGCCGCAAGGUUAAAACUCAAAUGAAUUGACGGGGGCCCGCACAAGCGGUGGAGCAUGUGGUUUAAUUCGAUGCAACGCGAAGAACCUUACCAG